GAACCAGUACCGUGAGGGAAAGGUGAAAAGCACCCCGACGAGGGGAGUGAAACAGACCCUGAAACUGGACGCCUACAAGCAGUCGGAGGGCGAAAGCCUGACGGCGUACCUUUUGUAUAAUGGGUCAGCGACUUCGUCUCUCGAGCAAGCUUAAGCCGAUAGGUGUAGGCGUAGCGAAAGCGAGUCUUAAUAGGGCGACUAAGUUUGUUGGAUUAGACCCGAAACCGAGUGAUCUAGGUAUGAGCAGG
RNAcentral lists this ribosomal RNA (248 nucleotides) under Oxyrrhis marina. Its description in RNAcentral is "partial Bacterial large subunit ribosomal RNA". It matches the Rfam family "Bacterial large subunit ribosomal RNA", at positions 492 to 744 of the family's 2925-position model. Lineage: Eukaryota; Dinophyceae; Oxyrrhinales; Oxyrrhinaceae. The record is from RNAcentral.